CUCAGACAGAAAUAUGACAGCCUCUGCGCUGUCGGAUGAGCAGGCUGCGAGGAAGUCAGGUGAGAAUCCUGCACAAUACCCGUUGCUGUAUUGGAGGAGCGGUGUCUCAUUAGAAACGUCACUGGAACUUAUGUUCCGGGAAGGCAGAGACAUAUGCGAUGAUACCUAAGUCAGAAUAUUCGCUUUUAAAUGGAUCUGGGG
Molecule: non-coding RNA, 201 nt
Filed under: Lachnoclostridium sp.
Lineage: Bacteria; Bacillati; Bacillota; Clostridia; Lachnospirales; Lachnospiraceae
Also listed under: 1 other name
Source: RNAcentral